This 229-nucleotide ribosomal RNA is filed under the name uncultured bacterium. RNAcentral describes it as "partial 16S ribosomal RNA". It matches the Rfam family "Bacterial small subunit ribosomal RNA", at positions 568 to 796 of the family's 1533-position model. The record is from RNAcentral.
UCCGUAGGCGGGCAGCUCAGUCAGUGGUGAAAGUUUGCAGCUCAACUGUAAAAUUGCCAUUGAUACUGGUUGUCUUGAAUUAAUGUGAAAUGGUUAGAAUAUGUAGUGUAGCGGUGAAAUGCAUAGAUAUUACAUGGAAUACCAAUUGCGAAGGCAGAUCACUAACAUUAUAUUGACGCUGAUGGACGAAAGCGUGGGGAGCGAACAGGAUUAGAUACCCUGGUAGUCC